AUUGAACGCUGGCGGCAGGCCUAACACAUGCAAGUCGAACGGUAACAGGAAGAAGCUUGCUUCUUUGCUGACGAGUGGCGGACGGGUGAGUAAUGUCUGGGAAACUGCCUGAUGGAGGGUGAUAACUACUGGAAACGGUAGCUAAUACCGCAUAAUGUCGCAAGACCAAAGAGGGGGACCUUCGGGCCUCUUGCCAUCGGAUGUGCCCAGAUGGGAUUAGCUAGUAGGUGGGGUAACGGCUCACCUAGGCGACGAUCCCUAGCUGGUCUGAGAGGAUGACCAGCCACACUGGAACUGAGACACGGUCCAGACUCCUACGGGAGGCAGCAGUGGGGAAUAUUGCACAAUGGGCGCAAGCCUGAUGCAGCUAUGCCGCGUGUAUGAAGAAGGCCUUCGGGUUGUAAAGUACUUUCAGCGGGGAGGAAGGGAGUAAAGUUAAUACCUUUGCUCAUUGACGUUACCCGCAGAAGAAGCACCGGCUAACUCCGUG
This 490-nucleotide ribosomal RNA is filed under the name uncultured bacterium. RNAcentral describes it as "partial 16S ribosomal RNA". It matches the Rfam family "Bacterial small subunit ribosomal RNA", at positions 30 to 507 of the family's 1533-position model. The record is from RNAcentral.